Molecule: unclassified non-coding RNA, 303 nt
Filed under: Hevea brasiliensis (rubber tree)
Lineage: Eukaryota; Viridiplantae; Streptophyta; Magnoliopsida; Malpighiales; Euphorbiaceae
Source: RNAcentral
GAAGGAAAAUCUUUACCCAACCUGCAUUUGCAUCAUAAAAAGUUGAGAGAGACUAAUAUUAUGUACUACACAUCUUCAAGUUGAAAUAACUUCUAAGCUCCUAGUUCCUACUCUGGUAAAAGCAGCAAAUCUAAAAAUCAAAGCAUCUGAAUAAUGCAGCAGGAAAAUAAGGUCCUCUUUUAGGAAAGAUCCAGUCUUUACUUUCUCUCACACACAUUUCUCACAUAAGCUAUCACCAUAAGAAAAAAUUCAAAGCAUCUGAAUAAUAUCGGAGGAACCAAUAAACAAACCUUUCUGCAAGCC